UACGGGGGGGGCAAGCGUUGUUCGGAAUUACUGGGCGUAAAGGGCUCGUAGGUGGCCAACUAAGUCAGACGUGAAGUCCCUCGGCUUAACCGGGGAACUGCGUCUGAUACUGGAUGGCUUGAGUUCGGGAGAGGGAUGCGGAAUUCCUGGUGUAGCGGUGAAAUGCGUAGAGAUCAGGAGGAACACCCGUGGCGAAGGCGGCCCUCUGGCUCGACCCUGACGCUGAGGCGCGAAAGCGUGGGGAGCGAACGGG
Molecule: ribosomal RNA, 253 nt
Filed under: uncultured bacterium
Lineage: Bacteria
Description: partial 16S ribosomal RNA
Rfam family: Bacterial small subunit ribosomal RNA
Source: RNAcentral